AUACGGAGGAUGCAAGCGUUAUCCGGAUUUAUUGGGUUUAAAGGGUGCGUAGGCGGUUUGCUAAGCGGGAGGUGAAAUGCCGGCGCUCAACGUCGGAAGUGCCUCCCGAACUGGUGGACUUGAAUGACUCUGCCGUGGGAGGAAUGUGUAGUGUAGCGGUGAAAUGCUUAUAGCUUACACAGAACACCGAUUGCGAAGGCAUCUCACGAAGUGUUGAUUGACGCUGAGGCACGAAAGCAGGGGGAGCAAACAGGAUACGAUACCCUGGGAGUCCAUGCCGCAAACGGUGGGCGCUAGGUGUAGGGCUUGCCCACUACUGCUGUGCCGUCGCUAACGCAUUAUGCGCCCCGCCUGGGGAGUACGGCCGCAAGGCGAAAACAUAAAGGAAUUGACGGGG
This 397-nucleotide ribosomal RNA is filed under the name uncultured bacterium. RNAcentral describes it as "partial 16S ribosomal RNA". It matches the Rfam family "Bacterial small subunit ribosomal RNA", at positions 523 to 918 of the family's 1533-position model. The record is from RNAcentral.